Molecule: ribosomal RNA, 3256 nt
Filed under: Ambystoma mexicanum (axolotl)
Lineage: Eukaryota; Metazoa; Chordata; Amphibia; Caudata; Ambystomatidae
Description: eukaryotic LSU rRNA
Rfam family: Eukaryotic large subunit ribosomal RNA (bases 608-3256)
Source: RNAcentral
UUUAAUUAUUUAGAAUGUAGCUAUCAUUAAUGUGUUGCCUUUUCUGUUGCCACUGCAGACACUCGUGAGUUAUUCUUUAUGAAUUGUUUUGGUUAUAGUUUGACUGCACCUGGCUAACAAAGGUUGGUUGUGCUUUUAUAAACUUAAAUUAAUCUGGGAGUAUACUGAUUGCGUCUUCAUGCCUUCUGUUGCUAGCUACUGUCUGAGCACUUCACUGAUCUGUAUUUCUGUGGAUUUAACUUUUGAAUUCUCUAGAAGUGUUGGGGUCUUUGUUUAUUUAAAAGUGUGCUGCGGCUUCCAUUUUGGAGAAGAUGGCUGCCCCAUUAUACUUGUUCUAUUUUAGUGAGCAGUAUUCUUGUGUCUUUUAUGUUGCAUUCCGCUUAUACAUUGGUUAUGUUAGUGCUCUUCAUUUCUGGUGGAUGCUACGUUAAUAUUUUUCAUGUAUAAAUGCAUGUAUUACCUAUUGUACAUGUUCUUCAUGUUGAGAGCACAUUUGCUUCAUGUCUAAUGCAUGCACAUGUAUUGUUAAAAUGUUAGUUUGACGACUUUUGCUAUCUUCAAGUUAGCGGGCCCCCGAGGGUGGAGAUGCCCCAUUUCCAUAUUCUGCUGUUCUGGCUUGGGAUAAGGGUGGCACGGUUGCCUUAUUGAGUAACUUUUCUCACCUGUGCGAUAUUGGGUCAGGGAAGGGACAGAAGCUUUGAAUGAUGUAUUCACCUGCCUCCCUCAAAGGUAUAGGACGGUGCAUGCCGGCUGAGGUGGGAAGCUGUUGUGCCCACCACUGGCACCUCUCAUCCACUCUGUUGGAGAGGUGGAGCAUGUGUGAUAGAAGGCAAAAGAUUGUGAACUAUGCCUGUGCAGGGCAAGACCAGAUGGAACUCUGGUGGAGGUCCGUAGUGGUCCGGACAUGAUUCGACUUGGGUAUAGGGCCAGAAGACUUAUCUAGUAGGUGGUUACCACCAAUGUUUCCCUUAGGAUUGCUGGCGCUCAGAUACCCCAAUUUUAUCUGGUGAAACAAAUGAUUUGAAGUCUUGGGGCCAAAGCGAUCUCAACCUGCUCUCAAACUUUACAUGGCUGAGGAGCCCUCGCUCACUGGCAUGAAGUCAGGGAUUGAAUGUUAGUGCCCACUGUGCCACUUUUGGUACGCAAAACUUGCGCUGCAGGAUGACCCGAACGCUAGGUUAAGUCACAUGAUACUGAUGAUCAUCAUGUCCCAGAAAUGGUGUUGGUUGAUAUAGACAGGAACACAGUGGCCAUGGAAGUCAGAAUCUGCUAAGGAGUGUGUAACAACGCACCAGUUGAAACAACUAGCUCUUGCAAUGGAUGGCACAGAGCAUCAGGCCCAUACCCAGAGGCUUCUGGGGCUGAGAGCUGCAGGGUCUAUGCAGCAAAAAGUAGGGGGACUCCUACGGUAUGCAUGGUAGUUCGGGGUGAGUGGCUUGUUGGAGCUGCCACAGGUUCAGAACUUGGUGGUGGUAGCAAAUAUUCAAAUUAGAAUUUUGAAGCCUGUAGUGGAGGAGGGUACUAUGUGAACAACUGUUGAACAUUGGUCAGGCGUUCCUAAGAGAUGGCCGAGCGCUGUUCGUAAGUGAUAUGCAAUGGCCUCCAUUGGCCCUCAACUGAUCGAAAGGGAGUCUGGUUCAGAUCCACGAACCAAGAGUGGCAUAGACAGGCACCCAUGUGGCAUUCAUUGCAGUAACACAAAUGUUCCUGGAGAAUUGGGCAUGCCCCCUGGUGAGAGUUCUAUUUUCUUUAUGAAGGGCAUGCUCAAAUGGAAAGCCCUGGAAAGCAUAGCGGUUUGGGCAGCGUACAGUGAGCUCUUGCCGAUCCUUGUUAAUCAGGGGAUAUGGUGUAAAUCUCGCACCAGGCCAUACCUAUAUGCAGGCAGUGCUCCAAGGUGAACCGCCUUUGGCAUAUUGGACUAAUGUAGGCAAGGGAAGUUGGUAAUUCAGAUCUGUAACUUUGGCAUGAGAAUUGGCGCUAAGGGCUGGGUGGGUCAGGCUGGUGCACAUAGCAGGGCUGGCCGUGCAUCAUGGCUGGAUGGGGCGCCUCCACCCUUGGUGGCAUGCUAACUCGGAACCCAAGCCAGGCCCUUCCUGUGGUCCUUGCCUGCUGUGGUGGUGGCCUCCCUCCAUUCCGCUCCUGGGGCUCAGACCAGCAUUCUCCCUCAGAAAAUGCCUAGCAGCUUACUUAGAACUGGUGCAGAAAAGGGCAAUCUGAUGGUUUAAUUGAAACUAGGCAUUACAAAGUCCUGUGGCAAAAGAAAUUCACUGAAGCACAGGUAAAUGGCAAGAGUAACUAUGACUCUCUUACAGUGGCUGGCCAAAUGCCAGGUCAUCUCAUUGGUGGCACGCUUAAUGGAUGAACAGUAUUUCACUUAACUUACCUAGCAUCUGGUAAACCACAGCCAAGGGAAUGGUUUGGCAGAAUCAGUGGGGAUAGGAGACCCUGUUGCACUUGACUUUAGUCUGGCACUGUGAGAAGACAUGAGUCAGGGGGGCAGCCAAGUGGGACUGUCACUUCUAGUUCCAAGCACACGUCUCUGGCCAGGCGCAAACGACUCCAGGGACAUUAGCAGGUGGGGAGCUUAACUGUGGCAGUACACAUGUCCUACAAUAAUACAGGUGUCCUAAGGCAAGCUCACUGAGGGAAAAGAAACAUCACACUGAGCUGAAGGGAAAAAGCUUGCUAGAUCUUGAUUUUGUGUAUGAAGUCAGACUAUGUAUGUGGGGCCUCACCAUACUUCUGACAUUUUGUGUUUCCAGCAGGAGGUGUCAGAAAAUGGCACAGGAAUAACAGUCUUGUAGCAUCCAAGCAUUCAUAGCGACAUUGCAUUUUGAUCCCUCUAUGUUGGCUCUUCCUAUCAUUGUGAAGCAGAAUCCAGCGAACGUUGGAUUGUUCACCCACUAAUAGGGAACGUGAGGUGGGUUUAUACCAUUGUGUGAAAGGUUUGCUUUACCCGACUGAUGAUGUGCUAUUGCAAUAGUAUCCUGCUCAGUACACGAGGAACCACAUGUUGAGACAUUUGGUGAAUGUGCUUGGCUGAGGAACCAAUGAGGCGAAGCUGCCACCUGUGGGAUUAUGACUGAAUGCCUCUAAGUAAGAAUCCCCCAUAAACUGUAACCAUAAGGAACCACUUGAGAGCCUUGGUUGGCCUAGGAUAGCCAUCCUCUGGGCCAGAGUAUAGAGCUGCUUGCCUCAGAACUCAAGUGUGGACAGAAGGGUGCAAUCACUCUCACCCAUAGUGCACCACAUGUUC